AUUGAACGCUGGCGGCAUGCUUUACACAUGCAAGUCGAACGGCAGCGCGGGCUUCGGCCUGGCGGCGAGUGGCGAACGGGUGAGUAAUACAUCGGAACGUGCCCAGUAGUGGGGGAUAGCUCGGCGAAAGCCGGAUUAAUACCGCAUACGACCUGAGGGUGAAAGCGGGGGAUCUUCGGACCCCGCGCUAUUGGAGCGGCCGAUGGCAGAUUAGCUAGUUGGUGGGGUAAAGGCCUACCAAGGCGACGAUCUGUAGCUGGUCUGAGAGGACGACCAGCCACACUGGGACUGAGGCACGGCCCAGACUCCUACGGGAGGCAGCAGUGGGGAAUUUUGGACAAUGGGCGAAAGCCUGAUCCAGCAAUGCCGCGUGUGUGAUGAAGGCCUUCGGGUUGUAAAGCACUUUUGGCGGGAACGAAAAGGACUGUGCCAAUACCACGGUUCGAUGACGGUACCCGCAGAAUAAGCACCGGCUAACUACGUG
Molecule: ribosomal RNA, 484 nt
Filed under: uncultured bacterium
Lineage: Bacteria
Description: partial 16S ribosomal RNA
Rfam family: Bacterial small subunit ribosomal RNA
Source: RNAcentral